CCUACGGGAGGCAGCAGUGAGGAAUAUUGGUCAAUGGGCGCAAGCCUGAACCAGCCAUGCCGCGUGAAGGAAGAAGGUUCUAUGGAUUGUAAACUUCUUUUAUUUAGGAAUAAACCUCCCGACGUGUCGGGAGCUGAAGGUACUAAAUGAAUAAGCACCGGCUAACUCCGUGCCAGCAGCCGCGGUAAUACGGAGGGUGCAAGCGUUAUCCGGAAUCAUUGGGUUUAAAGGGUCCGCAGGCGGAUUUAUAAGUCAGUGGUGAAAUCCUGCAGCUCAACUGCAGAACUGCCAUUGAUACUGUAAGUCUUGAAUUUGAUCGGAGUGGGCGGAAUGUGUAGUGUAGCGGUGAAAUGCAUAGAUAUUACACAGAACACCGAUAGCGAAGGCAGCUCACUAGGUUAUAAUUGACGCUCAUGGACGAAAGCGUGGGGAUCAAACAGGAUUAGAUACCCCAGUAGUC
This 460-nucleotide ribosomal RNA is filed under the name uncultured Fluviicola sp. RNAcentral describes it as "bacterial SSU rRNA". It matches the Rfam family "Bacterial small subunit ribosomal RNA", at positions 338 to 795 of the family's 1533-position model. Lineage: Bacteria; Pseudomonadati; Bacteroidota; Flavobacteriia; Flavobacteriales; Crocinitomicaceae. The record is from RNAcentral.